RNAcentral lists this ribosomal RNA (490 nucleotides) under uncultured bacterium. RNAcentral's name for it is "partial 16S ribosomal RNA". It matches the Rfam family "Bacterial small subunit ribosomal RNA", at positions 30 to 507 of the family's 1533-position model. The record is from RNAcentral.
AUUGAACGCUGGCGGCAUGCCUUACACAUGCAAGUCGAACGGCAGCAUGAUCUAGCUUGCUAGAUUGAUGGCGAGUGGCGCACGGGUGAGUAAUACAUCGGAACGUGCCCUGUAGUGGGGGAUAACUAGUCGAAAGAUUAGCUAAUACCGCAUACGACCUAAGGGUGAAAGUGGGGGACCGCAAGGCCUCAUGCUAUAGGAGCGGCCGAUGUCUGAUUAGCUAGUUGGUGAGGUAAAGGCUCACCAAGGCGACGAUCAGUAGCUGGUCUGAGAGGACGAUCAGCCACACUGGGACUGAGACACGGCCCAGACUCCUACGGGAGGCAGCAGUGGGGAAUUUUGGACAAUGGGCGAAAGCCUGAUCCAGCAAUGCCGCGUGUGUGAAGAAGGCCUUCGGGUUGUAAAGCACUUUUGUCCGGAAAGAAAUGGCUCUGGUUAAUACCUGGGGUCGAUGACGGUACCGGAAGAAUAAGGACCGGCUAACUACGUG